AUUGAACGCUGGCGGAAUGCUUUACACAUGCAAGUCGAACGGCAGCACGGGGGCAACCCUGGUGGCGAGUGGCGAACGGGUGAGUAAUACAUCGGAACGUGCCCGGUCGUGGGGGAUAACGUAGCGAAAGUUACGCUAAUACCGCAUACGAUCUGAGGAUGAAAGCGGGGGACCUUCGGGCCUCGCGCGAUCGGAGCGGCCGAUGUCAGAUUAGGUAGUUGGUGGGGUAAAGGCCUACCAAGCCGACGAUCUGUAGCUGGUCUGAGAGGACGACCAGCCACACUGGAACUGAGACACGGCCCAGACUCCUACGGGAGGCAGCAGUGGGGAAUUUUGGACAAUGGGCGCAAGCCUGAUCCAGCCAUUCCGCGUGCAGGACGAAGGCCUUCGGGUUGUAAACUGCUUUUGUAUGGAACGAAAAGGCUCUGGCUAAUACCUGGGGCUCAUGACGGUACCGGAAGAAUAAGCACCGGCUAACUACGUG
Molecule: ribosomal RNA, 484 nt
Filed under: uncultured bacterium
Lineage: Bacteria
Description: partial 16S ribosomal RNA
Rfam family: Bacterial small subunit ribosomal RNA
Source: RNAcentral